CUCCAAUUUUUUUUUUUUUUUUUUUUUUUUUUUUAGUGCUUAAAAAUUCUUUAACAUUUUCAAUUAUUUCCCUCUCGCCAAUUGCAUUUAAUCCUUGGAGCACUUAUUUUUAUUUUUGCACUCUUAAUGAGUUCUUGAUCAUGUCGCUUCUGAAAGAAGUAAGCCUGCUUCACGCGGACUUGCCCUAUUGAGGAUCUUUCAGGUUUCUGUGAGGUGGAUUCUAAUCUACUAAUAGAGCAGUGUGUGCUGCAUGUCUCUACCCUAUAAGGCCCCUUCCUCUUGCUUCCUACUUCCUAUAUAGCUUACUCUUUCAAAGAAGAAACCAUUCAAAAAUGUUACCUCCUUCCUCAGGCCUUUAGAGCUAGGAGUUUUUACCAUUGUGUCUGUAGUGACUAAUGGGAGAGAAGUGUACGAAAUCGAAUCGCAGUCUUUCAAGAGCAGAAGGAUUUGCCUGCCACAAGAGGGCUAAAUGGUAACCCUCAAGUCCUCUUACUGAGCAAUUGUGUUUCUGUUCAAUAAGCUUUUUAAACUGCAUUUUCCUUGUAAGAACUUAUUUUCUUUUAAGUCAGUUCAUUUCUAUCAAAAAGAGUUCAACUAUAUGCCUUAAGCUGUUACUCAAUACAUGUUUGUGUUAUUUAUACCAUUUGAAAAAUUGAUAUAUAUGUGGGGUGGCAAAUGAGAUGAGUGAAGGCAGUUAGUACUAAUGAAUUACCUCUUAGUAAAUUCUUCUAAUUGAUUUCAUAGAGGUGUUUCAACCAGUUGUAGGCAUACACGUGGAAAUGUUCUUCCUUUUCUCAUAACUGCUAAUACCUAUACAAUGUCAAAUCCCCUUUGCUGGGUGGAAAUGAGUUCCUUGAAUAAAAAAAAAAACAUUCAGUUUGAUUCCAUCUUUUGAAGGUAACUUGUAUCUGAAUUUUACUGCAAUUAUAUUUCCAUCUAAUAUUGAUGUUCUAAAUAAUCCUUCUUACUCUAGCAUAAACAUAGAUGAGACUCAUACCUCUGGAUGGAAGCUAUGCGUGGUUUAUUCUCUUUCAAUUCCUUUCAUCUCCUCAGGGUUUUCUCUUUGUCUACUGAUGAGAAGAGGGGGAAAAAGAAAAGAAGAUUCCUCAUACCAGCACUCUUGGUGUCAAAGCAUUGUUAUUUGUCCUGGCUGUAUUCCAAUUCCUGAUCCACAUGUCUUGCUUCUGCAAUAG
Molecule: long non-coding RNA, 1193 nt
Filed under: Sus scrofa (pig)
Lineage: Eukaryota; Metazoa; Chordata; Mammalia; Artiodactyla; Suidae
Description: lncRNA (ENSSSCG00035051076.1, ENSSSCG00065011531.1)
Source: RNAcentral